RNAcentral lists this ribosomal RNA (301 nucleotides) under uncultured bacterium. RNAcentral's name for it is "partial 16S ribosomal RNA". It matches the Rfam family "Bacterial small subunit ribosomal RNA", at positions 509 to 807 of the family's 1533-position model. The record is from RNAcentral.
CAGCCGCCGCGGUAAUACGAAGGGGGCUAGCGUUGUUCGGAAUUACUGGGCGUAAAGCGCACGUAGGCGGAUAUUUAAGUCAGGGGUGAAAUCCCGCAGCUCAACUGCGGAACUGCCUUUGAUACUGGGUAUCUUGAGUAUGGAAGAGGUUAGUGGAAUUGCGAGUGUAGAGGUGAAAUUCGUAGAUAUUCGCAGGAACACCAGUGGCGAAGGCGGCCCGCUGGACAAGUAUUGACGCUGAGGUGCGAAAGCGUGGGGAGCAAACAGGAUUAGAUACCCCCGUAGUCCCUGUCUCUUAUAC